RNAcentral lists this long non-coding RNA (167 nucleotides) under Mustela putorius furo (domestic ferret). Its description in RNAcentral is "lncRNA (ENSMPUG00000031930.1)". The record is from RNAcentral. Lineage: Eukaryota; Metazoa; Chordata; Mammalia; Carnivora; Mustelidae.
GAAUAAAGGACAAUGAUGCCCAGAAAGGGAAUUGGAGAAACCGUGGAAGAUUGUCCCACGCUAAGGGGUUUCUGUCUGCGUGCAAAGGGUACGGGGACGAUGCAGCUCAAUCCUGCUGCUGAAAACAGCAGCUUGCUCUGCCUAACAGGUUAGUCCAUCCUCCCCCG